RNAcentral lists this ribosomal RNA (253 nucleotides) under uncultured bacterium. Its description in RNAcentral is "partial 16S ribosomal RNA". It matches the Rfam family "Bacterial small subunit ribosomal RNA", at positions 524 to 776 of the family's 1533-position model. RNAcentral also lists the same sequence under 1 other name. The record is from RNAcentral.
UACGGAGGGGGCUAGCGUUGUUCGGAAUUACUGGGCGUAAAGCGCGCGUAGGCGGCUAUUCAAGUCAGAGGUGAAAGCCUGGUGCUCAACACCAGAACUGCCUUUGAAACUAGAUAGCUAGAAUCACGGAGAGGUCAGUGGAAUUCCGAGUGUAGAGGUGAAAUUCGUAGAUAUUCGGAAGAACACCAGUGGCGAAGGCGACUGACUGGACGUGUAUUGACGCUGAGGUGCGAAAGCGUGGGGAGCAAACAGG